RNAcentral lists this long non-coding RNA (544 nucleotides) under Vulpes vulpes (red fox). RNAcentral's name for it is "lncRNA (ENSVVUG00000030037.1)". Lineage: Eukaryota; Metazoa; Chordata; Mammalia; Carnivora; Canidae. The record is from RNAcentral.
GGGAAGGGGCAGGACAGGUGAAGUUUACCACAGGAGCCAAGGCCUUGAACCCACCAGCAAGGGUUCUUGCUGGAACUCGCAGUAUCUCAUCAUGGUUAGAUGGUGAGAUCUCGCCUGAGGAGAGUGGGGUGGCAGCAGGAGACAGCUCACAAAAGGAACUCCACAAUGUUUGUUUCUGAUGCUCCUGGGGCUGUUGAAGCAUCAAAGUGGAUUUUCCUUUAUAACUUCCAGCUAAGCUCUUCCUUGUGCUCCAAAGAGCUCAUGGAUGACACCCCCACCUCCAACUUGUUUUGAAAAAGUAUCAGAUUUGUUCCUGUGGUCCUCCGCUGCCUGUUUGUGUCCUGCUCAUCUUAAUGCCUGUUAUGAAUUAGUUUCUCAAGAAACAAUUGAAAUGGCACUGAUCUGUCCAGAGUUAUUCCUCCUCCCUACAACUGGUAGGAUCCAUGACCGUCCAGGAGUGUUGACAAGCAGGGAAAGCAGAGGGAUCGCUGACACCCAAGGCCGACAGACCAUCAUGCAGGUCAGCGCCAGUCAGCAUGGAUAA